This 422-nucleotide long non-coding RNA is filed under the name Lathyrus oleraceus (garden pea). RNAcentral describes it as "Pisum sativum (pea) long non-coding RNA (PSAT_LNC009467)". The record is from RNAcentral. Lineage: Eukaryota; Viridiplantae; Streptophyta; Magnoliopsida; Fabales; Fabaceae.
UCGCAACUGGAUCGGAUAACACAAAUGUCACGCCUCAUACACGUAUAUGUGAAAACGGCGUAUUGACACGAUCCGAUCCGAAAACAUAAUCAAAUUAUAACAUAAAAUAGAAAUAUAUAUAUAUUUAACCAAACCGCAUGUAUCUGGAAUACAUAACACAGUCACACAUAUGAACAUGUAUUUGAAACACAGUAACAAAUAUAUCAACAAAAUAGAUAAAGUAUAUAUCAUAUAUAAACUAUUACCAAACUGUGUGUACGAUAGUAUAGAUCAGCCACUCUCAGUUUCUCUUUUUUGUUCUGUCUUUUUGGCCUCCCUCUAUCAGUCAUGCUAGUAAAUAUAUAUAGGAACAAAUUAGGUUAAUGAUAAUGGGCCUAAGUUUAUUUUGAAACCCAAUAUUAAAUUAAAAACUGAAUAAAGUU